CGUUUGUGAAAGCCCUGGGCUCAACCUGGGGAGGCCAAGCGAUACUGGAGGACUUGAGGGUGACAGAGGGGAGUGGAAUUUCCGGUGUAGCGGUAAAAUGCGCAGAUAUCGGGAGGAACACCAGCGGCGAAGGCGGCUCCCUGGGUCACACCAGACGCUGAGAGGCGAAAGCUAGGGGAGCGAACAGGAUUAGAGACCCUGGUAGUCCUAGCCCUAAACGCUGGAUGCUAGGUGUGGGAUCGAGAGGUUCCGUGCCACAGCUAACGCGAUAAGCAUCCCGCCUGGGGACUACGGCCGCAAGGCUAAAACUCAAACGAAUUGACGGGACCCCGCACAAGCAGCGGAGCGUGUGGUUUAAUUCGAUGCUACACGAAGAACCUUACCUGGGAUGGACAUGGAGGUGGUAGGGAGCCGAAAGGCGACCGACUCUUCGGAGAGCCUUCACAGGUGCUGCAUGGCUGUCGUCAGCU
This 470-nucleotide ribosomal RNA is filed under the name uncultured bacterium. RNAcentral's name for it is "bacterial SSU rRNA". It matches the Rfam family "Bacterial small subunit ribosomal RNA", at positions 589 to 1060 of the family's 1533-position model. The record is from RNAcentral.